CCAAGGAAGGAUUCAUUCAUGAAUAUCUACUCCAACAACAACAACAACAACAACAACAACAACAACACACACAUGCCACAUUCUCCUCUUCACCACUCUGUUCCACCCACCUAACUUUUUCUUCUCAGAUCUCUUCUCUUCUCUUCUCUUCUCAGAUUUCAACAACUUCUCUGAACUCUCUCUCUCUCUCUCUCUCUCUCUCAAUGGGUGGUUCUCCGAGAAACCCACAACCAAAAGAUGAAGAAGAAGCACCACAGCUUGUGCGACCCUGUGACUACUGUGGUCACUCCACAGCAGUUCUCUACUGCAGAGCUGAUUCAGCGAAGCUCUGUUUCUCUUGUGACCGUGAAGUUCACUCCACAAACCAGCUUUUCUCAAAGCACACUCGCACUCUCCUCUGUGAUGCCUGCGAUGAUUCCCCUGCCACCAUACUCUGUUCCACAGACUCCUCUGUUUUCUGCCAGAAUUGUGACUGGGAGAAACACAACCCUUCGCUUUCUUCUGUGCACGAACGGAGGCCCCUUGAAGGGUUCACGGGGUGCCCUUCGGUUACUGAGCUCUUGUCGAUUAUGGGGUUUCAGGAUUUGGGGAAGAAAGAGCUUUUUGAUUCGAGUGGUGUUGCUGGGAAAACAGAGGAUGGGUUUCUGGGGUGUGAGAUUGAAGGGCUUUCUGAUUUGUUCGUUUGGGAUACUCCUUCUGUUUUUAGUCUUGAUGAUUUGAUUUCUUCUUCUGGUUCUUCUCAUAACUUUCAGGCUAUGGAGGUUCCUCCUCUACCCAAGAAUCGUAAGGCUGCAUGCGGGCGACACAAAGAAGAGAUUCUUAACCAGCUUCGCCAACUAACAAAGUCUGAGCCCUUGGAUCUUGAGCAGUAUGUGCCAACAGAAAAUCUGUCCACAGGUUUUGAAGGUGAAAUGGAGGCUGAUAUCUUUUCUUCCCAUGAGUGGCAUAGAGAAAGCAAUGAGACUAUGUAUCAAGUUGUUCCUCUUGAAUCGUCUUUGAGAACUUCUAACGAAGAAGUUUCAGUUAAACAUUCUACUUCUGCUGGUGGGGAGGCUCAUGCCUAUGGCAAUAAUGAAGGUCAACCUUCAAAUUCUAUCAAGUCUGAAACCUUACCAACCACUCCUAGACCUGUGCCAUAUGAGUUAGCGAGUCAAGAAAGGGAUUCUGCAUUAUUACGGUACAAGCAGAAGAAGAAAACAAGAAGAUAUGAGAAGCACAUAAGGUAUGAAUCACGAAAAGCUCGGGCAGAAAGCAGGAUAAGAAUUAGGGGCCGAUUUGCCAAAAUGGAACACUGAAAUCAUGGUAGGUUGCUAUGACAUCAUAACCAUUAUUAUUGGUUCAUAGCACAAGUUUUGUAACACGUUCCUUUUUAUAGUUAACUAUAUUUUGCGAGUGAUGUAUUGUUGGAUUCCGAGCUUGGAUAAUGCAGACACGUAUUCUUGCGAUGACUUUGACAAUGAUUUAUUUUCCUUAGCUCCAAAAUUGCAUCUGAGGAGGAUUAAAAGAGAUAUCAUAAGCAUCAUGUACAUACGGCGGGUGGACAUGGAACAUACAAGGAAGCAUUUUGCAAGCUACUGCAUUCUCCUGUUAUGUUAGAAGCUGCAGCUUGGAAGUUUUUUUUUUAAUACAAGAGCACUUGAAGUUAGUUGGUGUAUAAUGGAAAUUCUAUUUAUUUUUUACAGUUAAAUUAGUUUGGCCACUCCAUGUGGCACUUGCACAGUUGCACUUAUGUACUAUAAAGAACAGUAGUACUAUCAAUGAACAAUUCUCAUUUUCUGAUCCA
Molecule: RNA transcript, 1783 nt
Organism: Lotus japonicus
Lineage: Eukaryota; Viridiplantae; Streptophyta; Magnoliopsida; Fabales; Fabaceae
Gene name: zinc finger protein CONSTANS-LIKE 13
Exons: 5
Source: RefSeq, a predicted model, not a curated record